This 495-nucleotide ribosomal RNA is filed under the name uncultured bacterium. RNAcentral's name for it is "partial 16S ribosomal RNA". It matches the Rfam family "Bacterial small subunit ribosomal RNA", at positions 28 to 507 of the family's 1533-position model. The record is from RNAcentral.
GACGAACGCUGGCGGCGUGCCUAAUACAUGCAAGUAGAACGCUGAAGGAGGAGCUUGCUUCUCUGGAUGAGUUGCGAACGGGUGAGUAACGCGUAGGUAACCUGCCUGGUAGCGGGGGAUAACUAUUGGAAACGAUAGCUAAUACCGCAUAAGAGUAGAUGUUGCAUGACAUUUGCUUAAAAGGUGCAAUUGCAUCACUACCAGAUGGACCUGCGUGGUAUUAGCUAGUUGGUGGGGUAACGGCUUACCAAGGCGACGAUACAUAGCCGGCCUGAGAGGGGGAUCCGCCAACCUGGGAACGAGAAACCGCUCAGACUCCUAAGGGAAGGAGGAGGAGGGAAACCUCGGGAAUGGACGGAAGUCUGAACGAGGAACGGCGCGGGAGUGAAGAAGGUUUUCGGAUCGGAAAGAUCCGUUGUAAGGGAAGAACGAGUGUGGGAGUGGAAAGUGCACACUGUGACGGUAUCUAACCAGAAAGGGACGGCUAACUACGUG